This 68-nucleotide transfer RNA is filed under the name Mycobacterium sp. RNAcentral's name for it is "tRNA-Phe". It matches the Rfam family "tRNA". From Rfam's summary of the family: Transfer RNA (tRNA) molecules are approximately 80 nucleotides in length. Lineage: Bacteria; Bacillati; Actinomycetota; Actinomycetes; Mycobacteriales; Mycobacteriaceae. The record is from RNAcentral.
AGGUCAGCGGCUAUCCUGUCCGCCUGAAAAGCGGAAGGUCGGCGGUUCGAUCCCGCCCCUGGCCACCA